RNAcentral lists this ribosomal RNA (258 nucleotides) under uncultured bacterium. RNAcentral describes it as "partial 16S ribosomal RNA". The record is from RNAcentral.
CUGCUGCCUUCCGUAGGAGUUUGGGCCGUGUCUCAGUCCCAAUGUGGCCGGUCACCCUCUCAGGUCGGCUACUGAUCGUCGCCUUGGUGGGCCGUUACCCCGCCAACCAGCUAAUCAGACGCGGGUCCAUCUCAUACCACCGGAGUUUUUCACACCGGAACAUGUGUCCCUGUGCGCUUAUGCGGUAUUAGCAGUCAUUUCUAACUGUUAUCCCCCCGUAUGAGGCAGGUUACCCACGCGUUACUCACCCGUCCGCCA